RNAcentral lists this ribosomal RNA (409 nucleotides) under uncultured bacterium. RNAcentral describes it as "bacterial SSU rRNA". It matches the Rfam family "Bacterial small subunit ribosomal RNA", at positions 505 to 916 of the family's 1533-position model. The record is from RNAcentral.
GUGCCAGCAGCCGCGGUAAUACGGAGGAUGCGAGCGUUAUCCGGAUUUAUUGGGUUUAAAGGGUGCGCAGGCGGGAUUUUAAGUCAGCGGUGAAAUUUUCAGGCUCAACCUGAACACUGCCGUUGAAACUGGGAUUCUUGAGUAUGGAUGAAGUAGGCGGAAUUCGUUGUGUAGCGGUGACAUGCUUAGAUAUAACGAGGAACUCCGAUUGCGUAGGCAGCUUACUAAGCCAUAACUGACGCUCAAGCACGAAAGCGUGGGGAUCAAACAGGAUUAGAUACCCUGGUAGUCCACGCCGUAAACGAUGAUUACUAGUUGUUUGCGAUAUACCGUAAGUGACUAAGCGAAAGCGAUAAGUAAUCCACCUGGGGAGUACGCCGGCAACGGUGAAACUCAAAGGAAUUGACGG